UGCGAGUCGACGAGAACGGGUCUUAGCUUGCUAAGAUUGUCAGCUAAGUGGCGCACGGGUGAGUAAUAUAUAGUUAACCUGCCCUAGAGAGAGGGAUAACGUUUGGAAACGGACGCUAACACCUCAUAUGCCUUUAAGACAAAAGUCUGCAAGGGAAACAUUUAUGGCUCUAGGAUGGGACUGUACGGUAUCAGUUAGUUGGUGAGGUAAUGGCUCACCAAGACAAUGACACCUAACUGGUUUGAGAGGAUGAUCAGUCACACUGGAACUGAGACACGGUCCAGACUCCUACGGGAGGCAGCAGUGGGGAAUAUUGCACAAUGGACGAAAGUCUGAUGCAGCAACGCCGCGUGGAGGAUGACACAUUUCGGUGCGUAAACUCCUUUUAUAUAGGAAGAUAAUGACGGUACUAUAUGAAUAAGCACCGGCUAACUCCGUGCCAGCAGCCGCGGUAAUACGGAGGGUGCAAGCGUUACUCGGAAUCACUGGGCGUAAAGAGAAUGUAGGCGGGUAAUUAAGUCAGAAGUGAAAUCCAAUAGCUCAACUAUUGAACUGCUUUUGAAACUGAUAACCUAGAAUAUGGGAGAGGUAGAUGGAAUUUCUGGUGUAGGGGUAAAAUCCGUAGAGAUCAGAAGGAAUACCGAUUGCGAAGGCGAUCUACUGGAACAUUAUUGACGCUGAGAUUCGAAAGCGUGGGGAGCAAACAGGAU
This 710-nucleotide ribosomal RNA is filed under the name uncultured Arcobacter sp. RNAcentral's name for it is "bacterial SSU rRNA". It matches the Rfam family "Bacterial small subunit ribosomal RNA", at positions 56 to 778 of the family's 1533-position model. The record is from RNAcentral. Lineage: Bacteria; Pseudomonadati; Campylobacterota; Epsilonproteobacteria; Campylobacterales; Arcobacteraceae.